RNAcentral lists this ribosomal RNA (249 nucleotides) under uncultured bacterium. RNAcentral's name for it is "partial 16S ribosomal RNA". It matches the Rfam family "Bacterial small subunit ribosomal RNA", at positions 524 to 776 of the family's 1533-position model. The record is from RNAcentral.
UACGUAGGGGCAAGCGUUGUCCGGAUUUAUUGGGCGUAAAGAGCGUGUAGGCGCCAGACAGGUCCGUUGUGAAACUAGAGGCUUAACCUCUAGACGUCGAUGGAAACCGUCUGGCUAGAGUCCGGAAGAGGAGAAUGGAAUUCCUGGUGUAGCGGUGAAAUGCGCAGAUAUCAGGAAGAACACCCGUGGCUAAGGCGGUUCUCUAGUACGGUACUGACGCUGAGACGCGAAAGCGUGGGAGCGAACAGG